UCUCUUUGGAAUUGCACUUAAAAUACUAUAAAAUUCUACAAAAUUAGUAUUGAUAUCAUACUUUUUUUUAAAAUUCAUCAUAUGAGAAUAAUGUAUUAUUAUCUGACAUCAGAUCAUUAAUGAAGAAUAUACUAUUUUCAAUAUAUUUGAACCUCAAAAUCAUCUUGCCAUCCAUUUUGAUGUUCGGAUUCAGCCAUAUGGACUGGGUCAAAAUUUCAGUAUUGUUUUCAGCUUUCAGCUUAUUUUUU
Molecule: long non-coding RNA, 248 nt
Filed under: Mytilus galloprovincialis (Mediterranean mussel)
Lineage: Eukaryota; Metazoa; Mollusca; Bivalvia; Mytilida; Mytilidae
Source: RNAcentral